This 442-nucleotide ribosomal RNA is filed under the name uncultured bacterium. RNAcentral describes it as "partial 16S ribosomal RNA". It matches the Rfam family "Bacterial small subunit ribosomal RNA", at positions 338 to 795 of the family's 1533-position model. The record is from RNAcentral.
CCUACGGGUGGCAGCAGUGGGGAAUAUUGGGCAAUGGGCGCAAGCCUGAACCAGCAAUGCCGCGUGAAGGAAGAAGGCUUUCGGGUUGUAAACUUCUUUGACAGGGGAAGAGCAGAAGGCGGUACCCUGAAAACAAGCCACGGCUAACUACGUGCCAGCCGCCGCGGUAAUUCGUAGGUGGCAAGCGUUUUCCGGAUUUACUGGGUGUAAAGGGCGUGUAGCCGGGAAGGCAAGUCAGAUGUGAAAUCCGGAGGCUCAACCUCCGAAUCGCAGUUGAAACUGUUUGUCUUGAGUACUGGAGAGGCAGACGGAAUGCGUGGUGUAGCGGUGAAAUGCGUAGAUAUAAGGAGGAACACCAGUGGCGAAGGCGGUCUGCUGGACAGCAACUGACGGUGAGGCGCGAAAGCGUGGGGAGCAAAUAGGAUUAGAUACCCGAGUAGUC